GGUCUCCUCGAUCUUUCCCUCGGAGGCGCGCGCCUGGGCCGGACGUGUCUCCGAAAUGUACAGCAACAAUUUGUAGAAGCCUGCAUGAAUUGUUGCUGAACAUUUCUAAUUAAGUUGAUUCUAAAACGUUGCCCCACGAUAUGCCGCACUAUUAUUGAGAAGGUUACUCCUAACUUUAGCAGUACUCAACAUCCGCCUGGAACACAGAAGUUCCUCCAGCAGCCAGUAGAGACGCAGUGAAGAAAUACUCGUCCUCGAGUAACCAACGCACUCUACUGGGAAACGAUCCGGCGACCUACUGCUCAUUUAUUUAUUUUGAAUCGGCCCAAAAUACUGCUGACAUGUUUUCGUAUAUUUCAUAAUUUUCGGAAGUGUUACUUUUAUACUCAGUUGAUAUUUUUGUAAUUCGCUUCAUUUGAUAUUAAUAUUUGUUUGUAACAUAUCGACAGUAUUCGUGCAUCCCCAUGUUGUAAAGUUUAGUUUAACCCCGGACUACGAGAGCAUCCAGAAGGGAACACGAGUCCUGGGAGUUGGUCUAAAGGAAUGACACACACAUAUAAUGGAAUCUUAACGUUUAUUCACUUCUAAUUAAUAUGUUUCGGUGUUAUUGCUCUUAUAUGCUAAUUACAUACAUCUAAGGUAAAGCGUUGUUAGGUUACAUGCCUUGGAACUACAACUUUAAUAUUGUUUAUGGGUAUUUUAUUACAGCAUUACCCAUAACUAGUGUAAGGCAUACAUAGGGAUGAUAUAUAAUAUGUGUAGGGCUGUCUGUAGUCGUUAGUUUUAGGUGCUUAGUAAUACGCACCAUCUCGAUGUUUGUAGAUUCAUGUAGUUUUAAAUGUGUAAUCAAAUAAGGAGAAUUUUUUGAAAAUCCACCAUCGUCUUUAGAUUUCCGUUCGCACGGGCAAUGGGCAUAAUAUUAUAAUCUUUAUUAAUCUAUUGGAAUUCAACAUUAUAUCAAUAAUUAAACUUAGCGUAGUGAAUUUGUGUUUUAUUUCACCUUUGCGUUAUGAAACCAUAACGAUCCUCAUUGGUCUGUAAAAACCGUAAUUGAGAUGUGAACAGUAAGUUUCUGGGUUCGACUCUCGGGUAGUGCAUAAAUAUAUCUGAAUUUUUCGAUUAAAUAAUACCUAUGGCUUGGGAUUGAGACGCCUGAUACGCGUCAAUCCGUUUAUAGCCUCUUCUCACGGGAGGGAAAUACUCUUAGUGACUAAUGCACUAUUCAUGUCACUCUUCGAGGUUAGAGACAUUGACAUGUAUGUAGGCAUUGUGAUAUUGCUAUUAUUUAUUUAUUUGAAGUAUUUUAACCACAUAAGAUCGAGAAGUACACACGGCAGGCGAAGUCUACGAAAAGGAAAUGCAUUAACAGCUUAACAGCUAUACUCUAAGCGCCUGCUUACAAUUGGCUCCUUAAAAAUUCUGUUUUCGAAAAAGUAGUUUUGUAAAUUUACAAUGUCUAUUUUAUACGUCUUACUAUUAACUUUAUCUGGAAAAAAACGUUAUUGAGAAUAAAAAAAAAUAAAGCUCUACAUUUAUUUGAAACAUUUCAACCCGAGGCGAUAACAGUCGAUAACGUGACCUCUUGGUAAUUGACGUCAGAAAGAUCAGAAAGGUCUAUAAUAACCCGGUUCAUAGCUUCCCGUUCGUAAUUUAUGUUAAAUCUAAUUAUUAGAAGAUAGAUUUUACAUAAAUUACGAAAAAGAAGCCAGGAAUCGAGUCAUAUGGACCCUACGCCACUGAAGGUUAUCUAGGUGUUUUUUUUUCUUUUUUCAUUUGAUAGGUCGCGAUUUUUAAAAUAACAUUGUUAAUUCGAAUAACUAAUUGUGUUGACGCUUAUAUAUAAAUAAUUAUAACUUUUAAAUAACCAAAUAACUUUAAAAAACGAGAACUUUAUUUAUUGAUUAUUUACAAUUACACCAACGGUUUACCAUUAUAACCAUACAACUAAUACAAUGAAUUUUCUUAUACUAGGUGAUAAACCUUUACAGGUGUAUACAGCAUUAUAUGUUAAGAUUUUGUUUAAUUUAAACAUUUAUAAAGUGGUGUUCAGUUAUUAAGACAUUUAAGUAUUUGUAUUAAGCCGUAUUUCGUAAAGAUUUAAUUAUUGGGUAAAAUACUUUGUUUUUCGAUACAGGUUAUUCUUUAACUCGAUAAUUUGCUUGCAAGAAAUAUAAUAAAUGGAUAAUAUGAUUUUUUCAAAAAGGUGAUGCUGGCGUCUUACUGCUUGGUGAAAGUAUUACAAGAUAUAUAAUAAAUUGAUAUUAAAUAUACUUUCACUUAAAUUAUUUUUAUAUUUGUUUCAUCUUUUUUGUUUAGUGAUAGGAAAUGUUAUACAUUAAAAUUCUAUUCGUGAGUUUGGAUGUUUGUUAUUUAAUCGGUUUCGUUUUUACGGUUGAAUGAAUAUGUAUGAAAUACGGUACGGUACGGUACAGUAAAAGGGAGAGGUUAUCAAUUUGGCUUUUUUUAGUACUUAUAUUUGCUAUGAGCAUCAGAAAAUACAAGGGGUACCAGGUUUUCAUAAAUGCACUAGAAGUAUGUGUGUAAUCACUAAUUGCAUCUAAGGUUUCUGUCACAAAAAAUUGGAAAGCUGCCAUCUCGUAUCGCCAUUAAGCAAAUAUUUGAAUCUGAGCCACACAUCGACAUCAUAUAGUGUUUAUUGUGGAUGCAUCUAAAAACCGCCAUCUGUUGACACUAGUUAAUAAAUAUUAAGUUCCAGGAUUAUUUCCUAGAAAUAAAUUCUAAUUUUAUAAGGAACGGAGCUAAAAAAAGCACCCCAUUGAGUUCGACAUGCGUUUGAAAACGCAAACUCUACAAUAAAAUGUUUUCUCUAAACCAAUGUCCAGUAACUGGCGUCCUUGAGCAAGUGUUUUUAUUUUCCUGCCUAAGCUAUAAAAAAUAUAAUAGAAUUGGCCGUUGCUCUUGAUUCUGCCAAACAACAAAAUGCUGAACAAAAGAACUUAACAGAUCAUAUUGUAAUAUCGUGUAAAGUUAAAAGACAAGUUAGCAUGUAGCAACCAGAUCAGUCAGCACAUGGGUUAUUAAGCUUUUACUAUUACAAGCACAGAUGGAGUUGUAUCUAGGUUUGAAGCCUAGAUCAAUACAUUAUGAGAGGGAGAGCACUACGCUUGCCGGAUGACCGGGAAAUCCGAGAAUGUCCUGAUUUUCUUUCGUGUGAUGUGCAGUAUCUAAUUACACGUUGCACUCUCGAUUUUAUUUCGAAAAAUGACGUAUGAAGACUACGAAAGAUUUACAGAAAAUAAUUUAGUAAUUUGAGAGACGUCGUAUUUGAUUUUAGAUAACUGGUUCAUUAUUGUGUUAAAAAUAUUUUUGUGAAACAAUUUGUAUUUUCAUUAUUUCAAUCCGUUCGAAGUUAAUGCAAUAUUGUCCCCGAAACUGCAUCCUUUACCUGGGAACCCUAGCUACGCGUCCAGGCCCCUUCGUUCUUUCCCUCGGAGGCGCGCGCCUGGGCCGGACGUGUCUCCGGAAUGUCCAGCAACAAUUUGUACCACCCUGCAUGAAUUGUUGCUGGACAUUUAUAUUAUUUAAGUUUAGUCCAAUCAUCACCCCAUGUGCAGCGCUAUCAUUAAGAAAGGUUAAUCUGAACCUUACAAGCAGAUCUCAACAUCCGCCUGAAACACAGAAGUUCCUCCAGCAGUCAGUAGAGACGCAGUGAAGAAAUACUCAUCCUCGAGUAACCAACGCACUCUACUGGGAAACGAUCCGGCGACCUACUGCUCAUUUAUUGUUAGUUUUGAAUCGGCCCAAAAUACUGCUGACAUUAGUUAUUUUUAUUUAAUACCAUCUUGAUUUCGUGUUGUCUUUGUGUUUAAGUGUCAACAGUAUUCGUGUACUCUACCCAUGUAUUAGUUUAUCCCCGGACCGCAGGGACAGUCUGAUUGUAACACUGUCCUGGGAGCUGGCCUAAAGGAGUGAGAUCUACUAGAUGUGAAUGUAAUGGCUUUGAAGCCAACACUAACCACUGAGUCAUACUUUAGCCGCAACAAAGCUUCUUCUUGUUAUAUUAGGGUAAUGCUUGUUCUAUUGUAGUUUAAGAUGACAGUCACGAACGCAUGCAACACAACGAGGUUGUAUGUAAUAGUAUUAUAAGACCAGUUAUAUUCCAAUCGACAAAAUAUCAAUGGUGUAAUAUGUAAUUCUAUACUCUAAGCUAACAACAAUGUAAUUGUGGGGCAAGUGGCAGUAGUGAAGUAAUGUAAUGUUUGUAUUGUUAAUGUAUAAGAAUAUAAUCAUUCAAUAAAAUUAUCUAUCUGUGUAGAAGUGAUAUUAUUAAUGUUUGAUUAAAUAAUAAACAAAUAUUUGCGACGUCCCGGAAGAGCACCGGA
RNAcentral lists this long non-coding RNA (4343 nucleotides) under Manduca sexta (tobacco hornworm). Its description in RNAcentral is "uncharacterized LOC115452234". Lineage: Eukaryota; Metazoa; Arthropoda; Insecta; Lepidoptera; Sphingidae. The record is from RNAcentral.